Non-coding RNA from Dermacentor albipictus, 593 nucleotides. The record is from RefSeq and is a predicted model, not a curated record. Lineage: Eukaryota; Metazoa; Arthropoda; Arachnida; Ixodida; Ixodidae.
GGCACGCUCUUUCGUAUGCUCUGCAGUUCAAAACUUUCUUUCUGUGCCUGUGAAUGGUCCGGCAAUGUGGGAAAUACUGAAGAAAGGACACAAGGCUUGCUGCGCAGCUGUGUGGUGUUGCCACUCGGGGAGCAGCACAAGGGCGAAAUUUUUCCAUUUCCUAGCGGAUGAGAGCCGCUGGUGGACUGCCUUUCUGGGUGCCGGAAAACUGACCAUGGAACGAGGAUGGCUGACACAGAGCAUCUCGGCUGAACUGCCACAAAGCAGCAUGGCCUGGCGGUGACAUGUGGAAUAGAAGAGAAGUGAACGAGCCGUAGUCCUGCCAGAAACGUCCCGCUGAGCCGCAAUUUUCUUCCAGCAGCCCCGAGGAAAUAACCGGGAACGCUGACUGCUUACUUCCCUAUUUUGAAAGCAACUGCCCCGCGUUUACUGCUUCAUGCUGCCCAACUUCAGUACAGCCUGAAAAAAAACCUUGGGAGGCACUAUUGGCUGGCGCUAUUGCCAUGGGCUCUGCUGCAACUAGAAUGAAACUCCAGCGCUGUCGUCGUUUCGUAAACGACGACGCAUCUAUCAUCACCUUGUGCGCCUUCCCC